Molecule: ribosomal RNA, 420 nt
Filed under: uncultured bacterium
Lineage: Bacteria
Description: bacterial SSU rRNA
Rfam family: Bacterial small subunit ribosomal RNA
Source: RNAcentral
AACGAACGCUGGCGGCAGGCCUAAUACAUGCAAGUCGAACGGGCGUAGCAAUACGUCAGUGGCGGACGGGUGAGUAACACGUGGGAACAUGCCUUUCGGUUCGGAAUAACGCAGGGAAACUUGCGCUAAUACCGGAUGACCCGGCGACGGAAAAGAUUUAUCGCCGAAAGAUUGGCCCGCGUAGGAUUAGCUAGUUGGUGAGGUAACGGCCCACCAAGGCGACGAUCCUUAGCUGGUUUGAGAGAACGAUCAGCCACACUGGGACUGAGACACGGCCCAGACUCCUACGGGGAGGCAGCAGUAGGGAAUCUUGGACAAUGGGGGAAACCCGUGAUCCAGCCAUGCCGCGUGAGUGAUGAAGGCCUUCGGUUGUAAACUACUUUCGUCGCGCGACGAUAAUGACGGUAGCGCGAGAAGAAG